GAGGGUGAUCGGCCACACUGGAACUGAGACACGGUCCAGACUCCUACGGGAGGCAGCAGUAGGGAAUCUUCCGCAAUGGGCGAAAGCCUGACGGAGCAACGCCGCGUGAGUGAUGAAGGUCUUCGGAUCGUAAAACUCUGUUAUUAGGGAAGAACAUAUGUGUAAGUAACUGUGCACAUCUUGACGGUACCUAAUCAGAAAGCCACGGCUAACUACGUGCCAGCAGCCGCGGUAAUACGUAGGUGGCAAGCGUUAUCCGGAAUUAUUGGGCGUAAAGCGCGCGUAGGCGGUUUUUUAAGUCUGAUGUGAAAGCCCACGGCUCAACCGUGGAGGGUCAUUGGAAACUGGAAAACUUGAGUGCAGAAGAGGAAAGUGGAAUUCCAUGUGUAGCGGUGAAAUGCGCAGAGAUAUGGAGGAACACCAGUGGCGAAGGCGACUUUCUGGUCUGUAACUGACGCUGAUGUGCGAAAGCGUGGGGAUCAAACAGGAUUAGAUACCCUGGUAGUCCACGCCGUAAACGAUGAGUGCUAAGUGUUAGGGGGUUUCCGCCCCUUAGUGCUGCAGCUAACGCAUUAAGCACUCCGCCUGGGGAGUACGACCGCAAGGUUGAAACUCAAAGGAAUUGACGGGGACCCGCACAAGCGGUGGAGCAUGUGGUUUA
This 661-nucleotide ribosomal RNA is filed under the name Staphylococcus aureus. Its description in RNAcentral is "bacterial SSU rRNA". It matches the Rfam family "Bacterial small subunit ribosomal RNA", at positions 296 to 948 of the family's 1533-position model. The record is from RNAcentral. Lineage: Bacteria; Bacillati; Bacillota; Bacilli; Caryophanales; Staphylococcaceae.